UACGUAGGGUGCGAGCGUUAUUCGGAAUUACUGGGCGUAAAGUGUGCGCAGGCGGCUCCGCAAGUCGGGUGUGAAAUCCCCAAGCUUAACUUGGGAAUUGCGCUCGAAACUACGGAGCUGGAGUGUGGCAGAGGAAGGUGGAAUUCCACGUGUAGCGGUGAAAUGCGUAGAUAUGUGGAGGAACACCGAUGGCGAAGGCAGCCUUCUGGGCCAACACUGACGCUCAUGCACGAAAGCGUGGGGAGCAAACAGG
This 253-nucleotide ribosomal RNA is filed under the name uncultured bacterium. Its description in RNAcentral is "partial 16S ribosomal RNA". It matches the Rfam family "Bacterial small subunit ribosomal RNA", at positions 524 to 776 of the family's 1533-position model. The record is from RNAcentral.